GACGAACGCUGGCGGCGUGCUUAACACAUGCAAGUCGAACGGAAAGGCCCUGCUUUUGUGGGGUGCUCGAGUGGCGAACGGGUGAGUAACACGUGAGUAACCUGCCCUUGACUUUGGGAUAACUUCAGGAAACUGGGGCUAAUACCGGAUAGGAGCUCCUGCUGCAUGGCGGGGGUUGGAAAGUUUCGGCGGUUGGGGAUGGACUCGCGGCUUAUCAGCUUGUUGGUGGGGUAGUGGCUUACCAAGGCUUUGACGGGUAGCCGGCCUGAGAGGGUGACCGGCCACAUUGGGACUAGCAUGCGGCCCAGACUCCUACGGGCGGCAGCAGUGGGGAAUAUUGCACAAUGGGCGGAAGCCUGAUGCAGCAACGCCGCGUGCGGGAUGACGGCCUUCGGGUUGUAAACCGCUUUCGCCUGUGACGAAGCGUGAGUGACGGUAAUGGGUAAAGAAGCACCGGCUAACUACGUG
This 468-nucleotide ribosomal RNA is filed under the name uncultured bacterium. Its description in RNAcentral is "partial 16S ribosomal RNA". It matches the Rfam family "Bacterial small subunit ribosomal RNA", at positions 28 to 507 of the family's 1533-position model. The record is from RNAcentral.